This 253-nucleotide ribosomal RNA is filed under the name uncultured bacterium. RNAcentral describes it as "partial 16S ribosomal RNA". It matches the Rfam family "Bacterial small subunit ribosomal RNA", at positions 524 to 776 of the family's 1533-position model. The record is from RNAcentral.
UACGAGCGGCCCAAACGUUAUUCGGAAUUACUGGGCUUAAAGAGUUCGUAGGCGGCAUUGCAAGUAGGGUGUGAAAGCCCUCGGCUCAACCGAGGAAUUGCGCUCUAAACUGCAGUGCUCGAGGAAGCUAGAGGUGAGCAGAACAGAUGGUGGAGCGGUGAAAUGCGUUGAUAUCAUCUGGAAUACCGGAGGCGAAGGCGGCUCACUGGGGCUUUUCUGACGCUGAGGAACGAAAGCCAGGGUAGCGAACGGG